RNAcentral lists this ribosomal RNA (301 nucleotides) under uncultured bacterium. Its description in RNAcentral is "partial 16S ribosomal RNA". It matches the Rfam family "Bacterial small subunit ribosomal RNA", at positions 509 to 809 of the family's 1533-position model. The record is from RNAcentral.
CAGUCGCCACGGGAAUACGUAGGUGGCAAGCGUUGUCCGGAAUUAUUGGGCGUAAAGGGCUCGCAGGCGGUUUCUUAAGUCUGAUGUGAAAGCCCCCGGCUCAACCGGGGAGGGUCAUUGGAAACUGGGAAACUUGAGUGCAGAAGAGGAGAGUGGAAUUCCACGUGUAGCGGUGAAAUGCGUAGAGAUGUGGAGGAACACCAGUGGCGAAGGCGACUCUCUGGUCUGUAACUGACGCUGAGGAGCGAAAGCGUGGGGAGCGAACAGGAUUAGAUACCCCUGUAGUCCCUGUCUCUUAUAA